Molecule: transfer RNA, 82 nt
Filed under: Clostridium sp.
Lineage: Bacteria; Bacillati; Bacillota; Clostridia; Eubacteriales; Clostridiaceae
Also listed under: 3 other names
Description: tRNA-Leu
Rfam family: tRNA
About the family: Transfer RNA (tRNA) molecules are approximately 80 nucleotides in length. Their secondary structure includes four short double-helical elements and three loops (D, anti-codon, and T loops).
Source: RNAcentral
GCGCAUGUGGUGAAAUUGGUAGACACGCUACUUUCAGGAGGUAGUGCUUCACGGCGUGUAGGUUCGAGUCCUAUCAUGCGCA